GACUGGAUUUCCCAUUUAAAUGUAAAUGGCCACAUGUGGUGGCCAGUGGCGACUUGCCGGACAGCAUGGAUCCGUAACAUUUCCAGCACUUGGCCAGGCCCCUUCCGGGCGCUCCCAGUCCAUCUCCCGUAUCCCAGACAAUCAAGCCUCCAAAAUCAGCCAAGGACAGAGGACGACAAACUUCAGCCAUGGGCCAGAUCUGGUCCCUGGUCCAUUUUUUGUGCAGUCCACAGAUAUUUUUUCCCCUCUCCUGGGUCUUCAUGUGGAGGUGAGUGCUGCCAGCCUGGACCUGUCUGAACAAUCAUCACCACUUCGGGCAGUUUUACUAGCACUUUCCAGCGCUGCCAAGGCUUGAGGCCAAGUUGGUUGGCCUAGCCUCACGUGGACAAGCUGUUCUCCCCGGAUGCACCUCACCGACUGGGUGUUUCCUCCUGGUCUAGACACGCAGCCCUGGAGCCAGCAGAUGCUAGAACCAAGGUCCCAGCACAGACCUACCCCCCCACACACUUAUUUCAGAAUCAGAACUCCAAACUAACAGGAAUGGGGCUGCCAUGGGGCUGAACUGUGUCCUCCCCAAACUUUACAUGUUGAAGUCCUAACCCCCAGUCUUCAGAAUGGGUCUGUUUUUGGAGUUGGGGCCUUUAAACGGGUGAUUAAGUUAAAUGAGGUGAGAUGGGUGGACCCCACUCCAUUAUGAGGAGGGGAGAUUAGGACGCAGGCAUGUACAGAGGGACGACUAUAAAUAUACUGGCGAGGCAUGGAGAGAAGAUGCCAGCAUUCUUCACUGUGGUAAAAUACACGUAACAUAAAAUGUGUUUAAACCAUGUUAGAUGUACAGUGCAGUGGCAUUAAGUACCCUCACAAUGUUGUACCACUAUCUCCACUAUCUAUUUCCAGAACUUUUUCAUCAUCCCUAACAGAA
Hipposideros armiger (great roundleaf bat) is the source of this 922-nucleotide long non-coding RNA. RefSeq lists it as uncharacterized. The transcript has 3 exons. The record is from RefSeq and is a predicted model, not a curated record. Lineage: Eukaryota; Metazoa; Chordata; Mammalia; Chiroptera; Hipposideridae.